Molecule: ribosomal RNA, 371 nt
Filed under: Triticum aestivum (bread wheat)
Lineage: Eukaryota; Viridiplantae; Streptophyta; Magnoliopsida; Poales; Poaceae
Description: partial small subunit ribosomal RNA
Source: RNAcentral
AUGGCGCCAUCGUCCAACCUCGUCCUCCUGCUCCUUGCCAUGGCACUGACGGUCUCCACCGUUCACGGUUGCGGAUACAACUGCCCGCCCUGUCUCCGCCCCCGCCACCACAACCGUUGUACCCGCCGCCGUCACCGCCGCCGUCGCCACCGCCACCGCCACCGGCGUACCCCCCGCCGCCACCAUCACCGUCAACCUGCUAUGGCCCGUGCCCAAAUCUGCAAGUGUGCGUCAACGUGCUGCACCUGCCGAAUCUCAGUCUCGGGUUGUUUGCCAGUGAGUGCUGCCCGCUGCUCUACGGAUUGGUCGAGCUGCAAGUGGCCGCGUGCCUCUGCGACGUCCUCGGCGGUGUCCUCGGACUCCGCCUCGAC